RNAcentral lists this non-coding RNA (221 nucleotides) under Paenibacillus riograndensis. RNAcentral's name for it is "T-box sequence". It matches the Rfam family "T-box leader". From Rfam's summary of the family: Uncharged tRNA acts as the effector for transcription antitermination of genes in the T-box leader family. T-boxes are found upstream of many aminoacyl-tRNA synthetase genes and some amino acid biosynthetic genes usually in Gram-positive bacteria. The anticodon of a specific tRNA base pairs to a specifier sequence within the T-box motif, and the NCCA acceptor tail of the tRNA base pairs to a conserved bulge in the T-box antiterminator hairpin. The record is from RNAcentral. Lineage: Bacteria; Bacillati; Bacillota; Bacilli; Caryophanales; Paenibacillaceae.
CUACAUUCGAUGAACGGGAAAGUAGUGACCUUGGACCCUAGUCCCCAGCGAGCCGGGAGAGUGUGAGCCGGUACAGAUCCAGUCAUGAAGCGCACCCGGGAGAUGGACUUCUGAACUGACAGUAGGAAGCCCCGGCUGAAGGCCGUUAACCUGUGAGGUGGCCGAACCCUGUGUUCGGCAACGAGAGUGGUACCGCGAGCGCUUAUGUCCUCGUCUCUUUU